UCAGGUCAACAUAGCCGGCAGCUAACUCUCUGCAACUCUUACAUGGUUGCCCACUGUUGCUAAGCAGGCCUGCGCAUGGUCAGUACCUGGGUGGGAGACCACAUGGAAAAGCUAGGUUGGUGCUGGA
Ribosomal RNA from Danio rerio (zebrafish), 127 nucleotides. The record is from Ensembl. NCBI's taxonomy places the organism in Eukaryota, Metazoa, Chordata, Actinopteri, Cypriniformes, Danionidae.